Molecule: ribosomal RNA, 253 nt
Filed under: uncultured bacterium
Lineage: Bacteria
Description: partial 16S ribosomal RNA
Rfam family: Bacterial small subunit ribosomal RNA
Source: RNAcentral
UACGAAGGGGGCUAGCGUUGCUCGGAAUUACUGGGCGUAAAGGGCGCGUAGGCGGGUGUUUAAGUCAGAGGUUAAAUCCCAGAGCUCAACUCUGGAACUGCCUUUGAUACUGAACACCUAGAGUACGGGAGAGGUGUGUGGAACUCCGAGUGUAGAGGUGAAAUUCGUAGAUAUUCGCAAGAACACCAGUGGCGAAGGCGGCUCACUGGCCCGGUACUGACGCUGAGGUGCGAAAGCGUGGGGAGCAAACAGG